This 240-nucleotide unclassified non-coding RNA is filed under the name soil metagenome. RNAcentral's name for it is "partial contains 5.8S ribosomal RNA, internal transcribed spacer 2, and large subunit ribosomal RNA". The record is from RNAcentral.
AACAUCGCGCACCUGCGGGAACCUGCGGAAGGAUCAUUACUGAGUCACGUGCUCAAACAACCCUUCUGUGGACCUGAAAUAAAACCGUUGCCUCGGCGGGCGGUUCCCCCCAAACCAACCCCACGUGGUGGGUUAGGGGAGACCAGACAGUCCGGUACGCUUAAGGCGUCCGGCGCCAGCCGCUGGCCCCAAACAAUUAAACUCUAGUAAUCUUUACCUUCUGAGUUUCAAUAUUUAAAA